RNAcentral lists this ribosomal RNA (425 nucleotides) under uncultured bacterium. RNAcentral's name for it is "partial 16S ribosomal RNA". It matches the Rfam family "Bacterial small subunit ribosomal RNA", at positions 354 to 796 of the family's 1533-position model. The record is from RNAcentral.
GUGGGGAAUCUUAGACAAUGGGGGCAACCCUGAUCUAGCCAUGCCGCGUGAGUGAUGAAGGCCUUAGGGUCGUAAAGCUCUUUCGCCGGGGAAGAUAAUGACGGUACCCGGUAAAGAAACCCCGGCUAACUCCGUGCCAGCAGCCGCGGUAAUACGGAGGGGGUUAGCGUUGUUCGGAAUUACUGGGCGUAAAGCGCGCGUAGGCGGAUCGGAAAGUUGGGGGUGAAAUCCCGGGGCUCAACCCCGGAAUUGCCUUCAAAACUCCCGGUCUUGAGGUCGAGAGAGGUGAGUGGAAUUCCGAGUGUAGAGGUGAAAUUCGUAGAUAUUCGGAGGAACACCAGUGGCGAAGGCGGCUCACUGGCUCGAUACUGACGCUGAGGUGCGAAAGCGUGGGGAGCAAACAGGAUUAGAAACCCGGGUAGUCC